ACGAUAUAUUCAGCUUCAGAAGGUCACAGCCUCUUUAUGGUUCAUUCAAGGGAAAUCAUGUGAAAUUGUAGAGACUUGAGAAUUACAUAUCUGGAUUUGCAAAUGGAAUGGCUUCACCUUUGACAAAAUUGUCGAAGAAUAGCAUCGGUUGCAGACAGCAGAUUUGGGAGAAAGAAUUUGAUAGCGAAACCCAAAUCUUAAAAUCUAAGCAACCAGAUUCACCAAAUAAGAAAACCCUAUUCGAAUUCAAUUGAUUUCAAAAGAAACAACAGCAAAAAUCAUCGAGAGGGAAAACUCACAGAGAAGGGAUUGACUACGUCUUCUUCUGCAAAAGGUUAGUGCCGUAACGACCAACCAUGGGAGAGUGAGAUUUGAGCGCCCAAAGAAUCUUGGUUUUUCUAGAAAACCUUGUUGUAAGGAUGUAUUAGUACUUUCAUAUUAAGUUUUGGUUAUAAUUAUCGAGAGCUGUUAUUCCCACCCCAAUGUCUUAUCUUCCCACCCACUUUUUUAUGAAUUUUUUAAUUACAAAUUUGUCAAUUUGUAAAUUGACUAAUAAGGACCUUAGUUACCCAAUUUAAUUUGCAUUACUUUUUUUUUUAUAAAAAAAGAAAAAAGAAAAGUUUGGGCGUGAUAACUCUCACGCUAUGUUUAGACGAUUUGUCUCUCUUAAACCCUAACUCAUCAUUCUCAUCUCCUUUCAUUCAGAGAAAGCAAAAGAAUGAAUUGAUGUUUCUAUGGAAGAAGUAGAUGAUUAUGUUUAUGUCGAAGAUGUAAAAGAUAAUUUUAUGUGGGUCAUCUUGAUUUGUCGACAUCGUAUAAUUGAAGUAUGGCUCUGUGACUUUUUAUCUCUAAUUAUAUAUAUAUGUGUGUGUGUGUUUGUCCAAAAUAUAUAUAUAUAUAUAUAUAUUAAGGGUUAUUUUAGGAAUAAUAGUGGGUGGGAAAAUAACAUUUUAAAUUUUUUAACUUUUUAUAGUAGGUGUAAAUAUAACGUGGGUGGGAAAAUAAGACAACGGGGUGGGUCUAGUAGCUCUCUAAUUAUCAUACACUUAAAAUGAUGGCUAUAAUUCUAUAUGAAGUUCAAAUUUUGGUUUUUUUCAAAAUUUCCCCUAGUGGAUCCGAUUUCCUUUUCUUACUUUUCUUAUUUCUAAGUUCUCCCAUUCCUUAUUUAUUCCAUUUUUGUUAAGUAAACAUGCCCUUAGAAUCUAACUACAUAUUUCAGAGUCACUUACUACUACAGUCUAGUACUAUUCUUCUUCAUUUGAAACUAAAAAAUCCUAUAUUGGAUUCUUACCAAACACAAAUUCAAACCAAAUUAUUAGGGAAAUUGAUAUAAAUUGGCCAUUUUAGUAAUAUUGGUAUCAAAAUAGAACAAAUCGGCCAUGCAAACUCCAUGCACAAAGUGAAAUGAUGAAAAUGAGAUUUUUGGAAUGCCAAUAACAAUUCUCUUAUACUUACAUCUCAUUGCUUCAUUUUCUGAUUUCAAAAAAGAGCUGUGAACUCUGGAUUUUUGGAUUGAGCUCAGAUCUAUGAGCAUAUCAUGUGCAUAUCGUGUACCUAUAAUGUACAUACAGUGUAUAUAGUGCGUAUUUUUAACUUGUUCACAAAAAACAAGGUUUCUUCUACCAAUUUCUCCUCCGUCAUUGAUCUCACCGCCCCUUCUGCUGACCUCGCAUCUAGGGAUGGGCAAAAUACCCAUGGAUUUGGGUAACCGUGGUUACUCGCCCAUUUAAAGUUGGCGGUUACGGUUAUGGAUAACCGUUUAGACAAAAUAAACGGUUAUGGGUAUAACCGUUUAUCCGUGAAAUUUAAAUGGACGGUUAUAAGUAUUAUCCGCGGUUAUAACAAGUAUCCAUCGGUUAUAGGUAUUACCCGCGGUUAUAACGGAUAUCCAUUUACCCAUUUAAUUUAAUAUAUGUAAAAUUAAAAAAAAAAUUAAAAAAACCCUCAGAGAAAUCACAAAAUUGAAUUCCACCGAAAUUGAAUUGGAGGGGCCAAUAGGGUUUUGUGGGUGAGAGGAUGAUGGUCUUAUGACUACUUUUUCCAUUUUGGUUUUGUGUUAAUGUAACCGAUUCAUGUCUAUAAAGUUAUAAACUGAUUCAUGAAAUUGCCAUACAAGCAGCACACUGUUAUAUCAGUGGUGUUUUAUAUCAGUUGGUUUUGCAUAAUGCCAUUUUGUUAGUAAACGAACAGUUGAUUGAGUGGUGUUUUAUAUCAGUUGGUUUUGCAUAAUGCAUUAUGUUCAUGCUAAUUGGUGUCGGUGUUCCUAAAUGGGAUACUAAUUCAAUUUAUACAUUUCUUUUGUAAGCCGCUUUUGGUGACAAUGAGUCGAUGAUACUUUGUGAUUGAACGUGUUCGAAAGUGUUUAGUUUCAGAAUAUUUUGGAGUUUUGAAUCAUCUAGUAUUCAAGAUAAUGACUACUUUAUGUUUUUAGAAGCUUUACUUUGUAAUCAUAUGAAUUAUAAUUAAAGACUUGCUUGGGUGUAGCAGAAAAAUAACGUUCGUAAACUAUUAUUUCAAUUAUUGGAAUUGUAUGAGGACUUAAAUGAUUAAAAUAGGGAAAUGCAUGCUAAAAUGUACCUAUAACGGUGUUUAAUUGUCAGAAAAUGAAAAUUAUGACAAAUUUUUAUUUUGUAAUUUUCAAGUUGUUAAAAAAAACAUGUAGACGGGUGAAAAAAUGGGUAAAUGGGUAAAAAAAGAUAAACGGGUUCAAAAAUGGGUAAAUGGUUAUAGUUAUGGUUAAAUGAGUAAAUGGUUAUGGUUAAAUGGGUACACGAUUAUAGGUAUGGAUAACCGUUGAAAAACCUGAAAGAACAAGAACAAGAAAUGCACUAUCUCUUUUCUUUUCUCUUGCACACACUUUACAGUAUUCUCUCACUCUAAUCCCUUGAGUGGUAUACAAUUUAUUGUUUUGCUCCCUCCCAAAACUAGUACAAUAGCCCCUUUAUAUAGAUAUAAUAAAGGUCUUCUUCAAUAAGGAUUAUUAAUCCUAAUUGGAAUUUAGCUAUGAAUCCUACUCCAAUUGAGAAACUAACUCCAAUUGGGAAAACAACUCCAAUUGGGAAAACAAUUUAAUCCUCUAAGACUAUUAAUUCCCAAUAGACUUAGGACAACUUAUAAUGGGUUGGAAAAAAACCCAACAAUCUCCCCCUCCAGACCAUGAGGAAGGCAUACCAAAAUAGGAUUGCUCCUCUUGACCAAACUCCCAUUGAUCGAACUUUUCAUGACUAGACUCCCCCUGAUUGAACUACCCAUAACCAAGCUCCCCUUGAUCGAACUACUCAUUAACCAAGACCCUCUUGAUUAGACUUCUCUUGACCAGGCUCCCUCUGAUCGCAAUACCCAUCGUCAUUGGCAAAGGCAAUUAUAGACUUCUUUGCCAAAAAACCAUCAAUCAUCUGCAUCAAAUAAGCUCUUCAUCGUAAGUCACAACACCUGCAAUAUUGUUCCCAUCCUUUUGUUCUUUUUUCCAUUUACGACAAUGCUUCUUCAUGUGACCCUUUUUCCCACAAUAGUGGCAGUUUCCAUUGAAUCUCGUCUCACCGGAAUUUUUGCCUCUUUUCUCUAUGACAAAGAGUUGUCUAGCUCCUGCACCUGAAGCUUUUCUCCUUGUUUCUUCAUUAAACAUGCUAUCCUUAACAGCAUCCAUAGACAGUACGCCAUUAGAAGCCGAAUUGCUUACAGUUACGACAAAGGUUUCCCAACUAUCUAGCAAGGAUCCUAGCAAUAAAAGUGCUAGCAGCUCUUCUUCAAUAUUCAAACCCAUAGUGGCUACCUGAUUGAUCACGUUCUGAAAGUUGUUCAAGUGCUCGGUUACACUAACAUCUUCCGCAUACUUCAUGUUGACAAGCUCUUUGAUAAGGAAUGCUUUCUUGGCAGCGGUCUUCUUCUCAAAGAGGGAUUCUAACUUCUUCCAAAGAGCUUGCGCAUCAAUUUCUUUAGAUACAUGGUGAUAGAUGCUCUCAUCCACCCAUUGUCUAAUCGUACCAAUAGUUUUACAAUUCAUCUUGGUCCAAUUAGCAUCAGACAUAUUUUCUGGCUUGCUCUUAACACCUUCAAUUGGCUUAUGGAGAUCUUUACAAUAAAGCAUGUCCUCCAUUCUUGAUUUCCACGUAACCCAGUUGGAGCGGGUGAGUUUCAUCAUAAUUGAACCCUCCAUUCUAAACGGAUAUCAGCCGAACUUGGCUCUAAUACCACUUGUUGAGAAUAUCGCGUUUAAGAAUGGGAAAAACAAGAACAUACUCCGGAAAUUGAAAAACAAAUAACCAAGAUAAAUAACACCAAGAAUUUACAUGGUUCGGCAAUAUGUGCCUACAUCCACGGGACAACAACAACAAUCUUUCACUAUAUCAAUAAUGAGUACAACCAAUAAUCAGGUUACGGGUAUAAACAUUUAUGCAAUUACCCAACGGGUAAACGGUUAUGCGGGUAUAGAUAUAAACAGUUAUGAGUAAGUAACCGCGGUUACCCGCCCGCCAUAACCGUUGCCCAUCCCUACUCGCAUCCCCGGUGCUCGGCGAUUUCGCAUCCCCUUCAAUCCCACCACUAACCCAGCCCCAUGUCUCCCGACACCUCCUUCCCCAACCUAGUCUCCCCCGUGACCAGGACUUGGUAACUCCCGACACCUCUGAAACCUUAGAGUUCAAGCACGACAAAGAUUGGAAAAAAGAGAACAAAAACCCAGAAAAAGUCUAAGUGAUCCCAAAUCACUUCUUGUGUCAAUCCAAAUGUCACUUCUACGGUUGCAUGUUCACUUUACAAGCACUAAAUCAAAAGCCGUUUUUCAUGUACUACCAAAUUCAUAUCAUUAUGUCUGUACUUUUCAUGUUAAGAAACUUGGCUUCGUGAAUUUGUUCAGGUCCAAUUCAAAAUGGCAUAGAAGAAGAAGAAUUUGAUUUGAUGGUUCAUGCCCCAGAUCUCGUCAAGAUUAUUGAAACCUCAAUCCGCACUUAUCAGCUUUUCCUGAAGAUGGAAGUCGCUUGUUUCUUAAUUUGCUUUAAUUGAACUUCUUGUUUCUUUGUUUGAGAAUUGUGAUAGAUGUAGAGAGAUUGAGUAGCGAGAGAGAGGUGGGUAAGAGUCGUAAGACGGGUUGAAGAGCAAUUCCAAUUUAACUUCUUCUCCUUCCUCUUACUCUCGCCCCGUUGGGGGUUAGGGUUCGUCGAAAGGGGAUGCGAGAGAGGACUUGGCAAUGGAUCAAGAUCCUCUCCUGAGCAGAUGGAGAGGAUCCUCCUGACCAGGCCCAUCGGGCCGUUCAUUUUUUAUCCAACGAUUAUAAUUAUUAUAACUUUUAGAGGGGCUACCUGUUUGUAGCUGUUGGAUAAAAAAUGAACAGUCCGAUGAGCCUGGUCAGGAGGAUCCUCUCCAUCUGCUCAGGAGAGGAUCCUGGUCCCUUGGCAAUAACCCAUUUAAGGGUCAAUUUAGUUAUUUUAAGUUUUUUAAAAAAAAUCUAUUUCUCAUACUGUUGAACAUGUGCAUGUUCUAUGCAUAUCUUAAAAUCCUAUUUUGGUCCCAAAAAAAUAAGAAAAAAUAAUUUUAUUUAAACUUAUGUAAUUUUUUUACUCAAGUUAAAUUUUAAAUGUUAAUUGUCUUUUUUUACCUUAUUGCAUAAUUAUCAUCAAGUACAAGAUAAAAUUAAUAAUAAAACUAAAAUUAUUCAAUAAACCCACACACUAUAAUCAAACCCUACAUCACUCCUACGAUCAUUCUGGCUAAUCCCAGAUAAUUAGUUCCAGAAUUAGGAGUGCUUCAAAUUGUUUAGAAAACAAUUGAUCAAACAAACAAUGACAACUUACGUUAACAGUGGAGUUGUUCUUUUUCGAAAGAGUAAUGCUAGGAAGACUAAAUUUGGGAUUUGGAUUCCAUCCGGAUCCAAAUUGUGGGGAUCCUAAGGAUCCUCACAUUUUAGUCAUUCAUCGUGUAUCGUGCGAUUAGAAAUCAUUUGACCUUUUUAUUUAAAAUUAAACACAAAUAGUACCUGACGAAAACUAACCGCACGACGUAUGAUGAACGACUAGGAUCCCUAGGAUCCCCAUAAAGUGGAUUUGGAGAUGAUCAUCUUCCCUAAAUUUGUGGACUAAAUUAGCAAACUAAAUGAGGUGUCAUAAAUAAAAAAUGAGCACGUUUAUCAACGAUUAAGUAAUAAUCCAAUCACCAACUUUCAUGUCAUUUAGUUUACAAAAUUGAAUCUCCCUAGUAUUACUCCUUUCGAAAAUAUUAUGGAAAUAAUUCAGAAAAGAAACUUGAAAGGUUUGUGGAAAAUCAUUCUAAUAGUGGAAGAAGUAGGGAGACAUGCUUGCUUGUUCUCUUCUCUUCAUUGGAGUUAGAUUCCUAGGUCUGCAAACAAAGCAGCUCAUGCGACUGCAUCGUUGGCGAUACAGAGCUGUGCUUAUCUUCUCCAUUUUGAAGGAGUCUCUUUGUAUUUUCUUCCCAUGCUGCUUUGUUAAUGGAAUUCCUAUUGAAAAAAAAAUACCAAAUGAUCCACCGUAUUCACAAGCGCUUUAAUAACACUAACCUCUCUGCACGCGCUCACGCACAUGCGAGAGGCUUUUUUGCAUCACGGCUCUACGCACCCCAAAAAUGUGUUCUUUAGAUAUUCUUAUAUUUCUUAAGUGAUUACUAAAAAUAGAUAAGAGAUGUCAUUGCCAAAGGAGAUGGCCUCAUCCAACUAUUUAGGGAAAAACUUAAAAUGUAAUCGAAAUCGAGGGACUCUUUCAAAAGGGGAUUAGAUUCUUUCCCCAAAUCGCGAAUGAAGUGCGUACAAAGACUCUCAUUAUUUCCGCAUGAGACUGUAUUGCUCUUUUUUUUGUCAAAUGAUAGAUUUUGUUAGAUUAAAUGUUAUAUUAGCCACCGACGGAGUUCGAACCCAUACCAUCAUGCAAGGGGUCAACAUAUUUCCAUCACUGUGGUCAAGGGCCACUUGCAGGACUGUAUUGCUCAUUGCCAAAAGAUGAACUAAAAUGUGUAAUCUGAGGAUGUUUUAACCCUCAGAUUACUCAAAAGUCAUUGCUCAUUGCCAGUGUUAUCCAUUUAGUUUAGAUAUUAAUAGUGUCACUAUUGUUUUAAGUUACAAACAAACUAAUUAAGUCUGAGUGGUCAAAUAGUAUUUCUCCAAGUUGAAUGAAAUUUGCAUUCUAUUGAGAAAAAUGCUUUUUCUUCUUCUUUUAACAAAUUCAAUAUCGAAUAAAACUUGCUCACUGUCUGGAGUAUUUUCUAACAACCCACACAAAACAAUAAGCAUGGAGAUCACAGUUACCUACCAAGCAAAAUAGUCAAAUACAGAUAAGUACCACAAUAGAUCUUUUACAUAUCUCAAAACCACAUACAUCAUUUGACAUAGGAUUCAUCAUAGUAUUUGGUAGGGAAAAUUAAAAUUAUUUUUUUGUUUACACCACAACACUGACACCAUAAAUAUUAGUAACAAAGGCAAUCAGUCCUUUCAUUAUGCAGCCUUUAAUAGGAAAAAACAGAAAGCUCAAAUAUGUCGGCUUACUUUGCAAGAGUAGAUAUCGUACUAAUAAUUUAGGACGCUCUUCUCACCAAAUUGUCUCAAAUACAUAUCCUUUUCGUAUAGCUCGUAUGAAUGCAACUUGAAAAAUACUUGAAAAAUUGCUCGGAAGAAAUAUAUACAAACAAAAGCAAACUAAAAGUAAGCUAUUGAAAGAAAUUUAGAAACACACAAACAUCACUACAACUGAGACUUAAAACUCAACAAAAACCAAAUAGUAGAAACUGAAAAUAUAUAUGUUCUUGAAUCGAGAACUUCAUCAAACGAACAACAAUAAAUCUAAUACAAUCUGUCAAAAACCAAAAGGGAAAGAGAUAAUUUCAAGGCUCUAUAAUGUCGAGGCCUCGUACAGUAACACAAUAAUCUUGUACCAUUAUACAAUUUCAAGGCCUUGACACGAAAUGAUUGCGAAAGGCCUUUUUUUUUAAUCACAGCGCACUGCGCGCGACUCACAUUUUAAACGUAUUUAUCUGCGUGAAUUGCUUCACUUGUUUGUAUUUCAUUAUUUUCUUUCUUUAUGAGAUUUAUUAGAAACGUAAAAGAAAGGUGAUCAUCAUGUAUUAAUUCAAAGUUUACAGAAUUUGAGGGAGAAUAUUUGAUAGAAUUGAAAUAUUGUUCGUACCAAGUAGGACAAAACCCCAAACGGAGGAAAAAGACAUCCUAACAUUGAGAACAAUUUAUUUAAGAAGAUGACAAUAUGUGCUAUAUUGCUCCUAUCAUUUCUCUCCAUACUUGAUAUGUUGAACUCCAGUUGAAAACUUUUUGUAUUAAAAAAGGUCGUACCCAGUGCACAAGGCUCCCGCUUUACGCAGGGUCUGGGAGAGGUGAAUGUCGGCUAGCCUUACCCCCAUUUUAUGGAGAGGCUGCUCCCAAGUCUCGAAAAAUAAAAAAUAAAAAAAAAUAAAAAAGCACAAUAAUUUAUUUGACAAAAGAAAUGAGCACAUAAGGGAAAAAAUUACUGUAACAGUUAACUAACAUAUGAAAGUGAUACUAUCCUAAAAAUCAUGUCCUCAAAUGUGUAUCAUCAAUUUAAUUAAACUAUAGUGAGCAGCACAUUAGUCUUUUUUCUUCUUUUUUUUUUUUUUUUCUUUUUUUGUACGUGCAACAACACAGUGCAAGGGUUAGAAUAUAUGUGCAUGUAUAUGUUGCAUAAUAUAACAUGUGUAGAAGUUACAGAUGUGUUUGUGUUUCUUCAAUUUUGAGUUCAAAAUGAACGUCAUAAUUUCAAGUACUUCAUCUAAUAGCUAAUAAUGACAAUUGACAUGCCAAAUAGGUGAAAGAAUUCAAGAGAUUAAGGCAUUUGAAAUUCACCAAUGGGGUUGGAAUCGUCUUUGAAAUUAGAAGGCUGCAGAAUCCAUAGGAUAAAUAUGAAUGUUUUCAAAGCUACUGUCAAUGACAAACACAAAAAUAAUACAAACAAAGUUUAACAGGAAUCAAAACAUAUGUAUACAUAUACAUAAGCAUAUUAAUCCAUAAGUCAACAAUGAUCCAUAUACAGCCGAUAAGAAAAGUGUCAUAUAAGUGUUGCAUCGUCCCAUGUAAACUGGGACAACAUUGAACCGGACCAGUAGAAGAUUCACUUCAGAAUAGUUAAAAUUAUAUGAACUUAUUUUUCCGUGUAAUUAUGCAAUUAAACUCUUGUAUUACUUUCUUGCUCGUCCAUGGUAUCACAAAGUAGUGCACCACUGGCAAUGGAUUAAACACUGCCCAAAACAGCAAACACCAAGGCCUGCCUAACCAAUGAGGUUGCAGGCACAGAUUCUCACACACGACUCUGUUGUGUAACUCAUCAACACAUUGUAUCCAGUGAGGCAGUGAAAAAAGGACUACCUUGGUUCUUAGAUUAUAUGUUUAAGCUAAUAAGCAAGCAAGACAUCGAUAUUUCGAAAUCCCAUGACUUUUGGCAAGUACUUACUAAAUCUUAAGUCCAUAUAACAACUCAAAACAUUUUGAAUUGCACCAAGAGAGAAAGAAAAGCUAGCAAUCAUACCUCAGCUAACCCACCAGCAAUGACUUCGAUCGACACAAAGGUCCAAAUCUGAUCAACGUUAACAAAAAAACCCACUCACUAAAAUCAAUCCAAUACCUGUUUCACAAAUUACAAAAUGUGUUGAAAACCGAAAAUGGACGAAAAAGCAAAGAAGAAGCAUUCAAGAGAUUAAGGCAUUUAAAUAAUUAGAAGAAGUGGACAGAGAUUAGUAAAAAAUUGGGGAGGGAAGUGAUAAUCUCUGCAGUGAGGCAGUAAAAAAUGAGUCCAACUAAUCCAAUCUAUUCCUUUUUGUCUACUGGCUAUUGUGCCACACAGUCCCAAAAGUUUAGUUUUCUAAUUUCAUAUGUCUGGUAAAUGUGUCAAACCCAUUUAAAUAAAACACUUAAAAGAAAAUUCAAUGAGAAAAACGUAGGAAAAGUAAGUAUUCAAACUCUUCAAUGGAAAAGGAGAAGGCGCGGAGAAUUACCGUUUCACUCCGUUCUGGGCUUCAGAGAGUGAAAGAGGUCUUCAUCGCAACAACUUUAUUUUUUCCAUAUAAACAAGCUAUAAACCGAAGCAUAAACCCUAUAAACUUCCAUUACAGAUAGGAGGGAUUAAAUAUAAACCUGUGCACUGAAAAAUUUAACAUCUAAAGUUUCUUUUUCGUGAAAAUUGAAAGGAAAACAGAUGACUAAAAUGGAAGAAAGACAAAAGCCCAAUCACAUACUCGAAAGGAACACGACAUAUAUAGCUCUAAACGUACUUUUGCCGACCUUCUCUUUGAGCUUUAGGAACCGGAAUUGCGUUUACUGUAAAACUGAAUUGCAAUGAGAACCCAAUGAGGGGAAUCCCUGAUCAAAACAACAUCCAUCCUGAACGUGGUGAUUCAGUUUCAGCUGCAACAAUCAUUCCUUGAAAGUAUAGACAGUAUGCUAGCAGCCUAAAAUCCCAAAAACGCAAAACGCAUUACUAAAAAAAUUCAAACUUUGAAGCAAUUUCACAAAUUGGGAUCAAUAAUCUAAAAACCCAGUUCAAUUUUUCAUUGCUCGGAUGGAAAAAAUUGAGGAAUGAAAGAAAAAAUUAAGGUUAAGACUGAACUUGGCACUUGAACCAGAGACGGUUGGCUGAGGCCGGCGUUGUAGAGAGCUUGAGAAACCUUAUCGAACACACCGAGGGACGUCCACGAAAUGCUUUCUUCGAUGAAAAACGUAUCUCCUCCAUCCUUCCGGUACGCCGCGGUGGUGGCGAUUCCGAACUGGCGGGAGUGGCUGAGUCAAAGCAAGCUGAUCUGAAACGAAGACGAAGCAUUAGAAAGAAGAGAAAAGCAGUGCUCGAAUUGGGAAGGAGGUGGAUCGAUGUACGGAGAUUAGAAUUUUGUAACUGAACAAAUGAAGCAGAGAAGUUAUGAUAAAAGGUUGUGGGGGGUUUGAAAACUGAACGUCCUGAACGUGGUGGUUUUUCAAUACAUAUUUCUGUGCGGACUGUUUUUUUACCAGUUUAUCCUCAUUUUUUGAAAUGUUUUGGGUUUGGUUCUGAAGAAAACAAAGGGCCUUUCUUGGCAUUUUGAAAUGCUUCACCUAUUUGGCAUUCUCCCUUUAUAUAUACUAGCCUCUUCCCACACGCAUACGCAUGUGGCAAUUGGCCUUCUUAUAUUUUUUUAUUUAAAUAAUUAAUUUACAUAUUUAAAAAAAAUUUAAAAAAAAUGAAUUAAUGACGUGAAACCACCCAUUAACGUGGGAGGUUUUGUUUUUGUUUUUUUUUCUAUAAUUUUAAAUAUUAAAUUCAUUCAAAAUAAAAAUAUGGUUAAAUACUUUAGCUUCUUUUGGUUCAAUUGUAAUUUAUGAAAUUCUUAAAAGACAAUUUAAGGUAUUUUGAAUGUUUCACCAUUUGAAGGUGCUCACUUUAUAUAUAUAGAUGAAGGAGGAGUUUUGGGCUACCACUUAGAAAGGAAAAUGGUGAAGUUUUGUUACUUUAGAAGCUUGGCUACUAGCAAGACACAUCUUUCGUCAACUCCCUCGACCGGAGACUUGGGGGACUCCUACCAUAUGCUACUGCACCUUGAUACUCGGAAGUCUCACGACCACUCACUGAUUUGGAUUUUUCAAGUCUCCAACCGAGAAGUUUUCCUCACUCGGAAAAUUAAGGGAACACUACAUCAACCUACAUGCUUCACUCACAAAGCUUCAACAUACAAGCUUCAACAAAAGAAAAAAUUCAAAAAACUUAGUGAAAAAGACUUUGGUGUAUUUAACACAGUACGUUGAAAUGAAGCAAAACUUAUUUAUUGAUAUCUCCGAUAAGUUACAAAUAUGUACAUAUACAUGAGUCAAAAUAAACAAACAAGAGGGAGCCUUCACAAAGGUUGCUUAGGAGAAGUCUCAGCAGUCGGCAGAGCCCUAAAAAGAGAAUGCACCGAAGGAUGAUCAUUCGGAGCCUCAGUACUGGACAGAACCCCAGAAGGAGGAGGCAUCGGAGGUUGAUCAUUUGGAGAUUCAUUAAGCGGUACAGCCCUAGAAGACGAAGGCAAUAAAUGCCUUUGGAACAAACCCACAAACCUCUAAUGAUCAAGUAAAAUCUGAACAUCAGAUUCCUGCAUCUGGUCAAGCUUCAUCUUCAUGUUUGUAGCAUAGUCAUGUGCGAGCUUGUGCAACUGUUUAUUCUCAUGCUUGAGCCCUCUAAUCUCUUAUUUGAGGCUUAUCACUUCAGCCGCCAAUGAUUCAACUUGGCAGGUUCGAGCAAAUAGGCGUUGGGCCAUAUUAGACACAGAACCUGCACACUGAACACUGAAAGCCAUGGAAUCCUUAACAGCCAACUCAUCAGACCGUUUGGAAAAUAGUCUGUUAUCUUUGGGAGUGAGAAGGUUCCUGGCCACAACCGCAGCGGUCAUAUCAUUCUUCAUCACAAAGUCUCAAACGGUAAAAGGACCAGUAGGGGAUAAGAAGGAUGGGCGCCAUAUGUUGUCUUGAGGAGACAUAGCUGCCUCUUCACUAAAGUUCAAGUCAAAACGACGGUCGGAUGGGCCAAAUAUUUUCAGAAAUGAUGAAGGAGAAAUGAGGUCCAAUAAAUCUCUGAAGUACAAAAAUAAGGGGAAAAUUCCUACAAGCAAUAACUCUCUGAAUGUACUUCUUGCACACAAUUGGUGCCUUUAUAAAAGAAAGGGCAACAUGACCGUUGGUUCAAAAAUCGAAGAGGCACCACUUUCCACACGCAACAUCAGCUCAUCGGGUACCACAGAUAACUUUGCCAAAGAUCUCUGACAAAGUUUAGACACAUAAAUUUUGAAGGUCCAGCUACCAUAUUAUUACCCACAAGGGUAAAGGAACAGCACCACUGCUUGAUAACUGAAAGUCUCUAUGUGUGUCAACCUCUGUGCUCUGUGGUAAGGCAGACUGGCAAAAAUGCCCAACCUUUACUCACACUCCCAACAAGAUUGCUUGCUCAAAAAUCGAAGAGGCACCGCUCUCCGAAUCUCGAGAGUCAGACUUCCAACAGGAUUACUUGCUUAAAAAUCGAAGAAGCACCGCCCUCCGAAUCUCGAGAGCCAGACUCCCAACAGGAUUACUUUCUUAAAAAUCGAAGAGACACCGCUCUCCCAAUCUCGAGAGCCAGACUCCCAACAGGAUUACUUGCUCAAAAAUCGAAGAGGCACCGCCCUCCGAAUCUCGAGAGCCAAACUCCCAACAAGAUUACUUUCUCAAAAAUCAAAGAGACACCGCUCUCCGAAUCUCAAGAGCCAGACUCCCAAUAGGAUUGCUUCCUCAAAAAUCGAAGAGGCACCGUUCUCUGAAUCUCGAGAGCCAGAUCCCCGACAUGAUUGCUUGUUCGAAAAUCGAAGAGGCAUCGCUCUCCGAACUUCGAGAGCCAUAUUUCCUUGGAUAAAGCUUGUCUGCAAUCUUCACACGCAACAUCAGCUUUCCUGAUACCACAGACCACUUUUUCAAAGUGCUCUGACAAAGUUAAAACAUGUGAAGCUUGCAGCUUCCACUACAUUGCUAUGACCAAGAAGGGUAAAGGAAUAACAUUACUAUUUGUUGUUAGGGAGACUCCUAUAUAUGUCAACCUCCAUCCUCCACGGACAGGCAGACCUGCAAAAAUGAUCAACCCUUCCUCAUAUCUGAGAGGGCACUUCCAACGAAGCCUCUCGAAAUACUCAGCUUUCUUCCCCCCUAAUAAUACCUAUGCAAACCAGCCACACCAGAGCAAGAGUAUCUCAUAUCAUCAGGAUCAAAAGCAAGAGUAUCCCAUAUCAUGCUUUUUCCCUGUCUUUUCCUUUGCCCUUGUUCUUACCUACAAGACAAGGAGAAAGAGAGCAAUCAGUCAGCACUUGGAAUCAAGCUUCCAGUCAGGAACUAACUGCCUGGAACCCCUUGCCUGAUUACUUACCUGGCAUUGCUCUCGAGUACUCAUCUUCAACAUCUUAUGCUUCCAGAGAAGAUACCACAUCUACCUGAGGAACAGAUAGGGCAAGUGAGAAUGAUACAAGGAAACAUGUGGAGACAAGCGUAACAGAACACGUGCCGAUACAUCCACUACUUUGUCAACAACAAAAGUAUCCCAUAUCAUCAGGGUCGAACGUACUCUAAAUUUGAUGGACUUGUUUUGNNNNNNNNNNNNNNNNNNNNNNNNNNNNNNNNNNNNNNNNNNNNNNNNNNNNNNNNNNNNNNNNNNNNNNNNNNNNNNNNNNNNNNNNNNNNNNNNNNNNNNNNNNNNNNNNNNNNNNNNNNNNNNNNNNNNNNNNNNNNNNNNNNNNNNNNNNNNNNNNNNNNNNNNNNNNNNNNNNNNNNNNNNNNNNNNNNNNNNNNNNNNNNNNNNNNNNNNNNNNNNNNNNNNNNNNNNNNNNNNNNNNNNNNNNNNNNNNNNNNNNNNNNNNNNNNNNNNNNNNNNNNNNNNNNNNNNNNNNNNNNNNNNNNNNNNNNNNNNNNNNNNNNNNNNNNNNNNNNNNNNNNNNNNNNNNNNNNNNNNNNNNNNNNNNNNNNNNNNNNNNNNNNNNNNNNNNNNNNNNNNNNNNNNNNNNNNNNNNNNNNNNNNNNNNNNNNNNNNNNNNNNNNNNNNNNNNNNNNNNNNNNNNNNNNNNNNNNNNNNNNNNNNNNNNNNNNNNNNNNUCUUGAAGAUUGUAAUCAUCUUUGAUGUCUAUUAAAAUCUUUAACGUUUCACUUCAAAAAAAAAAAAAAAAUGCGGACUCUGGUCUCCUCCAUUAAUAGAAAAAUAAAGGUUUUCUCGGUUUAUCUCAUGAACUUGUAAGCAAUUGCCAAUUUCUUUAUUUAAAAACAGUUAUUCCCCCCGUACUCCCCACCCUCCAUUAAUAAAAAAAAAAAAAAAAAGGAGAUGGUUUUCUCAGUUUAUCUCAUGAACUUGUAAGCAAAUACCAAUUUCUUUAAAACAAUUAUUCCCCUUCAACACCCCCCCCCCUCCUUCCCUUGCAACAUUUUUGGUAAGGGGGUAGGUCACCCCAAAAGCAACUCAACAAAUUAUUGGGGCUUUUAGAUCUAGGUCCAAAAACAUAGAUGAUUUUUAGGAGUAAAUCUAGUUAUCUAAUUACAUGUUUUUAUUUCUUUUAUACUCAUUUAUAUUUUAAAAAAAUAUUAAAAAUCAAUUAAAAUCUUCUAAUAUUAUGCAUUUUUCAACUCCAAAAAAUCAAUUAAUAUCUUACAACAACAAAAACUAAUAUACUAACAUAAAUUAUCUACAAAACAUUCUACCUUAACUCAAGUAACAAAUAUAUGAAUAUAUAUUAUGCAUGUAAGCGAGAUAUGAAACCUAACUAAAAGGUAGGAAAAAACAUAAUAUAUCUACAAGCAAAACAUUAAUUUGUGACACGUUGAUUAUAAAAAAGAAUAUGUCAUAUAGAUACAUAAAAAUAAUUAACCUGUGAUAUAGGUUGAUUAUAAAAAUUAAAUAAAAUCUAUAAAUGGGGUUUAAAGGAGGAGGAAGAACAAGAAAUAACAAGAAAUAAAAAUAAAAAGAAAUAAUCAAAGAGAUAAUUAGGAAGAAAUUUGAUUUUUAUAAUAAAUAUUGUCAUUGAAUAGAUAAUUCUUGAUAAUAAAAUAAUUAAAUUUCAGAAUUGAACUUAUUUUAAUAAAUUGGACUAUUCCUACAAUUGGCUAAAUUGGACUUAUAUCAAGUUUUCCCUUAUUAUUAUUAUAAACAGUCCGAGUCCUAGAGACUUUGAUCAACUUCAAUAAAUAGCUCAUUAUCUCUUUUGCUAAAUUUUCAAAUUUUGAAUUCAUUACUUUGUUCUUCUCAUGUGGACAAAACGCGAGCCACUUAAGAUGAUAACAAAAUCAUUUUAUUGCAAUAUUGGGGUCUAUGGAUCAGACUCGCACGAGGGCGAAUUGGGUAUCGUGGCAAUGGACUUUGGUGAAACCAAAAGUUGUAUUUACCCAUGAAUGAGGAAGGCAAGCACGUUGGGAUGUUUUCUGUGGGCCGUGCCAUGCCAUCAAAACUGGCCCAAAAUCAAAGAGCUGCCAUGUUGCUCAUAAAAACGACUAGCCCCCUAUUAAUGUAGUGUUGAUACUUGAAAACAGAUUGCAGCACUGAGGCAGCUUACGCAGCAAGAAUUGAUAGAUUUUUUCAAUGAGCAUAUAAAAGUUGGGGCACCUCAAAAGAGGUCAUUAAGUGUACGAGUGUACGGGAACUCACAUUCAUCCGAGUACACUACGGAUGGAAGUUCACCUGUGAAACCUUGCUAUGUCAAAAUCGACGAUAUAUUCAGCUUCAGAAGGUCACAGCCUCUUUAUGGUUCAUUCAAGGGAAAUCAUGUGAAAUUGUAGAGACUUGAGAAUUACAUAUCUGGAUUUGCAAAUGGAAUGGCUUCACCUUUGACAAAAUUGUCGAAGAAUAGCAUCGGUUGCAGACAGCAGAUUUGGGAGAAAGAAUUUGAUAGCGAAACCCAAAUCUUAAAAUCUAAGCAACCAGAUUCACCAAAUAAGAAAACCCUAUUCGAAUUCAAUUGAUUUCAAAAGAAACAACAGCAAAAAUCAUCGAGAGGGAAAACUCACAGAGAAGGGAUUGACUACGUCUUCUUCUGCAAAAGGUUAGUGCCGUAACGACCAACCAUGGGAGAGAGUGAGAUUUGAGCGCCCAAAGAAUCUUGGUUUUUUUCUAGAAAACCUUGUUGUAAGGAUGUAUUAGUACUUUCAUAUUAAGUUUUGGUUAUAAUUAUCGAGAGCUGUUAUUCCCACCCCAAUGUCUUAUCUUCCCACCCACUUUUUUAUGAAUUUUUUAAUUACAAAUUUGUCAAUUUGUAAAUUGACUAAUAAGGACCUUAGUUACCC
RNAcentral lists this long non-coding RNA (16744 nucleotides) under Malus domestica (apple). RNAcentral's name for it is "long non-coding RNA (MDOM_LNC008075)". The record is from RNAcentral. Lineage: Eukaryota; Viridiplantae; Streptophyta; Magnoliopsida; Rosales; Rosaceae.